Small nucleolar RNA from Tachyglossus aculeatus (Australian echidna), 137 nucleotides. NCBI's taxonomy places the organism in Eukaryota, Metazoa, Chordata, Mammalia, Monotremata, Tachyglossidae. The record is from RefSeq and is a predicted model, not a curated record.
ACCCUCUCAGGGUCGCACCUGGAGAGUGUCCAGUACUCUACCAGUUUUGGCUAUGGGAGGGAGAGUCAGCAGAAGCAUACCCAUUCCACUGCUAGCUUGGGCAGUGGCUAGCAAGUGGAAGGCCAUCCACUACAAGU